GCAAUCAAAUACACAUAAGAAGAUGUAAGCAGUGCUCUGUAUGUAUCACCACUUUGCUAACCAUUUAUUCUUGACUGCAUACAAAGAAAUUGAAUAUGGAAACUUGUGUAAGUUUAUUAAGUUUACUAACUAGAAAAAGGCAGUUUAUUGGCUAUAAAUGUUUAAGUUUAAGCCUUUUGCGACUACAAGAUUAUCAAAUUCUCCACACCUGAUGGAUAACUCACUGUAACUUUCGUGCAAUUAAACCAGUAUAACCCACACCAGACAACUAGCCAAACUGGUUUUCUUGGGGCUGUCUGAACCAAGUCCGGGGCAAGCCUAUCCCCAAUAUUUUUCUCUUUAAUCACAGGU
RNAcentral lists this long non-coding RNA (351 nucleotides) under Theobroma cacao (cacao). RNAcentral describes it as "long non-coding RNA (TCAC_LNC004060)". Lineage: Eukaryota; Viridiplantae; Streptophyta; Magnoliopsida; Malvales; Malvaceae. The record is from RNAcentral.